This 500-nucleotide ribosomal RNA is filed under the name uncultured bacterium. RNAcentral describes it as "partial 16S ribosomal RNA". It matches the Rfam family "Bacterial small subunit ribosomal RNA", at positions 30 to 523 of the family's 1533-position model. The record is from RNAcentral.
AUUGAACGCUGGCGGCAUGCCUUACACAUGCAAGUCGAACGGCAGCACGGGAGCAAUCCUGGUGGCGAGUGGCGAACGGGUGAGUAAUAUAUCGGAACGUGCCCAGUCGUGGGGGAUCACGCAGCGAAAGCUGUGCUAAUACCGCAUACGAUCUACGGAUGAAAGCGGGGGAUCGCAAGAACUCGCGCGAUUGGAGCGGCCGAUAUCAGAUUAGCUAGUUGGUGGGGUAAAGGCCCACCAAGGCGACGAUCUGUAGCUGGUCUGAGAGGACGACCAGCCACACUGGAACUGAGACACGGUCCAGACUCCUACGGGAGGCAGCAGUGGGGAAUUUUGGACAAUGGGCGCAAGCCUGAUCCAGCAAUGCCGCGUGCAGGAUGAAGGCCUUCGGGUUGUAAACUGCUUUUGUACGGAACGAAACGGCCCUUUCUAAUACAGGGGGCUAAUGACGGUACCGUAAGAAUAAGCACCGGCUAACUACGUGCCAGCCGCCGCGGUAA